UACGGAUGGUGCAAGCGUUAUCCGGAUUUACUGGGUUUAAAGGGUGUGUAGGCGGGCUGUUAAGUCAGUGGUGAAAUCUCCGGGCUCAACCCGGAAACUGCCAUUGAUACUAAUGGUCUUGAAUUUUGUUGAGGUAGGCGGAAUAAGUCAUGUAGCGGUGAAAUGCAUAGAUAUGACUUAGAACACCAAUUGCGAAGGCAGCUUGCUAAACAAAUAUUGACGCUGAGGCACGAAAGCGUGGGGAUCAAACAGG
This 253-nucleotide ribosomal RNA is filed under the name uncultured bacterium. Its description in RNAcentral is "partial 16S ribosomal RNA". It matches the Rfam family "Bacterial small subunit ribosomal RNA", at positions 524 to 776 of the family's 1533-position model. The record is from RNAcentral.